This 431-nucleotide ribosomal RNA is filed under the name uncultured bacterium. RNAcentral describes it as "partial 16S ribosomal RNA". It matches the Rfam family "Bacterial small subunit ribosomal RNA", at positions 29 to 507 of the family's 1533-position model. The record is from RNAcentral.
AACGAACGCUGGCGGCAGGCCUAACACAUGCAAGUCGAGCGCCCUUUCGGGGGAGCGGCGGACGGGUGAGUAACGCGUGGGAAUAUGCCCUUCUCUACGGAAUAGCCUCGGGAAACUGAGAGUAAUACCGUAUACGCCCUGUGGGGGAAAGAUUUAUCGGGGAAGGAUUAGCCCGCGUUGGAUUAGGUAGUUGGUGGGGUAAUGGCCUACCAAGCCGACGAUCCAUGGCUGGUUUGAGAGGAUGAUCAGCCACACUGGGACUGAGACACGGCCCAGACUCCUACGGGAGGCAGCAGUGGGGAAUCUUAGACAAUGGGGGCAACCCUGAUCUAGCCAUGCCGCGUGAGUGAUGAAGGCCUUAGGGUUGUAAAGCUCUUUCAGCUGGGAAGAUAAUGACGGUACCAGCAGAAGAAGCCCCGGCUAACUCCGUG